CCUACGGGUGACAGCAGUGAGGAAUAUUGGUCAAUGGGCGAGAGCCUGAACCAGCCAAGUCGCGUGAGGGAGUACUGCCCUAUGGGUUGUAAACCUCUUUUGUCGGGGAGCAAAAGCCGGAAGUGUCAGGCCGUGAGUGUACACGAAGAAAAAGCAUAGGCUAACUCCGUGCCAGCAGCCGCGGUAAUACGGAGGAUGAGAGCGUUAUUCGGAUUUAUUGGGUUUAAAGGGUGCGCAGGCGGAUUUUUACGUAAGCGGUAAAAUGGUGGGGCUCAACCCCAUCCAGCCGUUGAAAAUGGGGGUCGAGAGUGGGCGAGAAGUAUGCGGAAUGCGUGGUGUAGCGGUGAAAUGCAUAGAUAUCACGCAGAACCCCGAUUGCGAAGGCAGCAUACCGGUGCACAACUGACGCUCAGGCACGAAAGCGUGGGUAUCGAACAGGAUUAGAUACCCCUGUAGUC
This 458-nucleotide ribosomal RNA is filed under the name uncultured bacterium. Its description in RNAcentral is "partial 16S ribosomal RNA". It matches the Rfam family "Bacterial small subunit ribosomal RNA", at positions 338 to 795 of the family's 1533-position model. The record is from RNAcentral.